Molecule: ribosomal RNA, 482 nt
Filed under: uncultured bacterium
Lineage: Bacteria
Description: partial 16S ribosomal RNA
Rfam family: Bacterial small subunit ribosomal RNA
Source: RNAcentral
AUUGAACGCUGGCGGCAUGCCUUACACAUGCAAAUCGAACGGUAACGGGCCUUCGGGUGCCGACGAGUGGCGAACGGGUGAGUAAUACAUCGGAACGUGCCCGAUCGUGGGGGAUAACGAGGCGAAAGCUUUGCUAAUACCGCAUACGAUCUACGGAUGAAAGCAGGGGACCGCAGGGCCUUGCGCGGACGGAGCGGCCGAUGGCAGAUUAGGUAGUUGGUGGGAUAAAAGCUUACCAAGCCGACGAUCUGUAGCUGGUCUGAGAGGAUGAUCAGCCACACUGGGACUGAGACACGGCCCAGACUCCUACGGGAGGCAGCAGUGGGGAAUUUUGGACAAUGGGCGCAAGCCUGAUCCAGCCAUGCCGCGUGCAGGAUGAAGGCCUUCGGGUUGUAAACUGAUUUUGUACGGAACGAAAAGCCUUCUUUUAAUACAGGAGGGUCAUGACGGUACCGUAAGAAUAAGCACCGGCUAACUACGUG